CUAAAACUCAUUACGAAAGGAACACGCAUGUUGAAGUGACUAUGCCAGCAAUACCACCAUUGCCAGGUUUACUCCUUUAGGAGGUGUAUGUUAGGAUCAAACAUUUACCAUCGGACUAAAAGCUUAAGCUAUUAGCUAUGAUGCAAUUUUAUUUCCAUAUAUUUCAUCAAUGGGAACGCAAAGCCCCACAAAUAAAGGUGAGUGAAUAUGAUGUAAGACUUGAUAUGACCACAUGUCACAAUUAUGUAGUUUAAUGUGGUUUAACGGAGUUAUUAAUUGUCUCUUUUGAUAUUUGAUAGGAGAUUAAAGGCAGUUGAUGGAAGUUAAUUGGUCUUUAGCCUAACCAUAUAUAAAGAUAUCAUCUUUUCCAUUAAAGAGAUAUCACAAAAAAAUACAAAAAAAGGUUCUAGAGGCAUAGGCUAUAAGACAUCUUUUAAACACUCAUUCACAAAUCAUUCAUGUUUUAGCUUUCUAUAACACUUGAACAAUAAGGCUGGAGGUAAGUAAUUAAAUUCCGCAUUAUAUUACAUACGUAAUAUUCCACAUAUGAGGGAUUUCAUAAUGCGUAUGUAAGCACAUCAAUGGGUUAGGCGAUUAAGCAGGCCCCCAUAGUGCGAGUCAUAAGGGAAAUUAUUGGCCGGCCCCCAUAAAACGAACAAUAUGUUUGCGCAAAUUUAGCACCUUCAUGAUAUUGAGGCUCUCACUCUCAACUGAAACCAACAACACAACUGAAGACCUGUCUCCCAUAAAUGAAAAACUUUAUAUAAAUAAUUGUUUAUUCAAAACCUUGGAUAUUUGAUUCAGUAAAGUAAUUAAAAAACUUUAAUUAAUACAGUAUUGUAAUAUGAAUACUAGCAAUUUUAUUCAUUUAUUACAGAAAUGAGUAGUGUGAUGUGGUGGGCAAAGGAGUGUCUUCGUUGUUUGAUAUGAAUUUUAUUGAUUCAUUCAUGAUAGUGCUUGUGGUAGUUCUGGUGUUGGUGAGUAUGAUGGUUGUGAUGGUGGGAGAGGAUGCUAGACUCUGGGGUGGAAGGAUUCAUUAAAAACAACAAGGAUAAUUAAGGUAUUAAUUAUUAACUUUGACUCAUGAACAAUACCUAGUUUCUGUCUUUAAGGAUGUGUCAAUAAUAUACGUAUCACUGUUAUCACACACCAUUGUGAAAUUCUGUAAAUUUCCAACAAUA
Molecule: long non-coding RNA, 1181 nt
Organism: Pistacia vera
Lineage: Eukaryota; Viridiplantae; Streptophyta; Magnoliopsida; Sapindales; Anacardiaceae
Exons: 3
Source: RefSeq, a predicted model, not a curated record